This 1187-nucleotide long non-coding RNA is filed under the name Sorghum bicolor (sorghum). Its description in RNAcentral is "long non-coding RNA (SBIC_LNC014470)". Lineage: Eukaryota; Viridiplantae; Streptophyta; Magnoliopsida; Poales; Poaceae. The record is from RNAcentral.
CUAAACGUAUUUUAAAAACUUUGCUCACUCAACACAUAAAGGAGCAACAAGCAUCACACCAAAACAUAUGCACCAGCAUGUACGCAUAAUAAUAUUGCUAAGCCUUAUGAUGAAUUUUAAUUAAAAAAAAUAUUAUUUUUCCUAUAUUUUCAUGAGCACAAAAAUAUAAAAUUAAAUAAUUUUAUCUAUAUUUCAAAAGGAGUAAAUUUUAGGGUGUUACAAUUCUACCCCCCUUAAAAUGAAUCUCGUCCUCGAGAUUCGGAAGAGACACGGAUUCCAAAAGAGAAAAAAAAAGAUACUGAUAACUAUUUCAACUUCACCACUUGUACUCCAAAGGCAAACACUCAUGUCUCGGGAUCACAACUUGUGAACAAAACUUCCAUAAAAUGUCUAUUAUUCGUAAUUGUUCAAGGUCCAUCUUGACUACCAACUUUUCACUUAUACAACUCAAAGACGUGAUAACUUAGCAUGGAUAUGCCUCCUCAGGUAGGAGCGGACCACCUUGAUACUCAAUUCUUUUCCCUGAUGGUGCGGUUUAAAAAAAAUUUCCACUGGGUAGUACGGAUCACUCCUUUGUUUGCACAUAACCAUAAGAUAUCUCAGAAGACAGUUAUCACUUCAUGAUAGUUUAAAAUGCAUCUUCCAGUGGUACCAAAGUACUACCCCCCUUAAGACGAGGUUGGCUGGGGGACAUUAGGGACUAAUCCUCCUAUCCUUUUUAGACGCUACACAUCAUAGUCUUUUAAAUUCCUUGUACCAAGUCUCUUAAUCCAAGGUUAGUUUAAACACUAAGUUCCAUCUAUUGGUACCUUUAUCACAGUUAAGUUGUUUCACUCUGGCAUCCCAAUUAUAGCUUCGUAAACUUUGGUGUCAUCUGAUCCUCAUAACAUAACUCUCAAUCCAUGAGUAUCAGCAAUGACAUAUAUUUCCAUUAGUAUUCUCUGAAUGGGAUGAUAUUUUGAACAAACCCAGCACUUGAUGUCCUUAUCGAUGUUCCAGUCAUUAACCACUUCUUCUCAUUGUAGUUCUUUAAUUGGGCUACCCCCCUUAAGAUAAGUCAACUAGGGGACCAAGAAAGGUAGCUUGCAUGUUUUCCAGACAAGUCAACUAACAUUGAGAACUUCUAACAUCCCAAAGAACUUAUGUGCAAGCGAACAAACAUGUAUCCUGAAAAUUUAUCAUGAUAU